UGCAGAGUGGCGCAGCGGAAACAUGCUGGGCUCUUAAUUCAAAGUCGAUGGAUCGAAACCAUCCUCUGCUA
RNAcentral lists this transfer RNA (71 nucleotides) under Perca flavescens (yellow perch). It matches the Rfam family "tRNA". From Rfam's summary of the family: Transfer RNA (tRNA) molecules are approximately 80 nucleotides in length. The record is from Rfam by way of RNAcentral. Lineage: Eukaryota; Metazoa; Chordata; Actinopteri; Perciformes; Percidae.